GCAUGACAGUGGUAAUGGUCACGAGCCAUAUUACAGUUUGGAACGAGAAGAAGAAGAAGAUUUGAUUGAACGCCAUGGUGGACGAAUAACUGGAUCUAUCAGCCAAAGAAAAAAAAAUUAUCUACUAUUUGAUGAAGAUAUUGGGUCGAAAAUCUUCCAAAGCCAAAGAGCUGGGAACUGCUUUGCUCACUGAGGAUGGUCGUUUAUUUGACAUGA
Molecule: non-coding RNA, 216 nt
Organism: Momordica charantia (bitter melon)
Lineage: Eukaryota; Viridiplantae; Streptophyta; Magnoliopsida; Cucurbitales; Cucurbitaceae
Source: RefSeq, a predicted model, not a curated record